CACACUUUAAAUAUGCUAAAGAGCUAAAAUCAUUUAUUGAAAACUUUCUACAGAAUAAAAAUUGUAUACUUGAUGACCAAUGUUAAUAUAUAUUCAGAUAAUGUUUAAGUCUGCAUUCUGUUGCCUCUGAAAAUGUCAGUUUUUUUUCUGUAAUUGCAAACCGUGACAACAACAAAAACACAAAAAAAUUUAAUUAAAACAAUAUCCACAUGAAAUAAAAUUUGGACAAUCUUAAUUAAAGGAAGGUUGCAUAACUGGCUUGAUCAAGGUAUAUUAUGACUUGGUGUAAAAAAUUACGUGCAUUUCUUGGUAUUUUCCUAUGACGUCUGUGCUCAGUAUCUCGGCUGUUACUAAACUAUAGUUCCCAUACAGCUGGCUGAGCAUCACGGGAAAUGUAGUUCAGAAAUGUAUUGCAUUCCAAGGUUUGCCAUCAGUGGUAAAUUCUAUUGUAUUUCAAUGCUUCAAGGUAUGUUACCGUCCAAUAAACUCUGCAUGACAAAGAAAGGGGAAAAAAAGUCAACUUCGGUUGCUGUCGUGUUACAGGAAGUAUUAAUACUUUAUUGUGGUGCCAGUACUGUACUUGCACAAAGUAUUUUGUAGCAGACAUCUGGAGAUAUAUAAUACAUUUUCUGAUAAGCAUGUUGGGAGUUAUGAAGAGCAGUGCUGCUUGUCAUGUAAAAAAAUCAGAAUGUUCAUUCAAUCUUCC
This is a non-coding RNA of Pelobates cultripes (western spadefoot toad), 706 nucleotides long. Lineage: Eukaryota; Metazoa; Chordata; Amphibia; Anura; Pelobatidae. The record is from the annotation of a GenBank genome assembly.